Cyprinodon tularosa is the source of this 541-nucleotide long non-coding RNA. RefSeq lists it as uncharacterized. The transcript is spliced from 2 exons. NCBI's taxonomy places the organism in Eukaryota, Metazoa, Chordata, Actinopteri, Cyprinodontiformes, Cyprinodontidae. The record is from RefSeq and is a predicted model, not a curated record.
CAGCAGAUGGGGCCUUACGGUUUUUCGUAUUCCCCACUUGGAAAAAAAAAUACGGACCGCAGACAGAGGACUUAACAAAGAGGCGUCGGGCUGCAUGGGUCGCUGCUGUAAGAAGGAAAGACAUCACGUUUCAUAAAAUAUCUCCUCAUGCUCGUGUUUGCUCUCGGCAUUUUCAAAAAGGUCAACCCGCAUAUGAGAUGAUGGAGACUGACCCAGACUGGGCUCCAUCCCUGCAUCUGGGCCACACUGACAUCAAACCAACAGACACAGACCGCUCUUUAAGACGUGGUUAUCGGGAACAGCUGAAAAAGAAUGCCCUGCAAGCAACUGAAACGGGGCUCCAUCGGGCUGAUGAAAUCCUUGAGCAACAGGAUGAAGUAACACAUGAGGCGACAGAGAACCCUAACCAGCAACAGACUGACACGCAGAAGGCUGCUGAAAACGUUGGCCGGCCAAACACCAAGGAUGACACAGAAGGUGGUCGUCAGGAAGGACAGACAGAAUGUAACCUGUGUGUGCUCAGGUGUGCAGAGAUGAACCG